This is a long non-coding RNA of Bubalus bubalis (water buffalo), 2444 nucleotides long. RefSeq lists it as uncharacterized. The transcript is spliced from 2 exons. The record is from RefSeq and is a predicted model, not a curated record. Lineage: Eukaryota; Metazoa; Chordata; Mammalia; Artiodactyla; Bovidae.
GGGGGGAUGCUAAGAGUUGAGGGAGAGAGGGUGGGGGGGUGGAUGCUAAGAGUGGACGGGAGAGGGGAUGCUAAUCCAAAUCCAGGCCCCCAGAGCCACCUGAGAUCCUCCCCAUCUUCCGGCUGCUGGCACCCAGAAAGCAAGAGAGGCAGGCUGGGAGCUGGAGGGGACCUCGCUCCCUGAGACAGUGGCUGAGAUGGGGGACAGGUGGCUGGCCAGCACCUCAGAGCAGCCAUGGGACCCUUGGGAAGCCCGGGAAGGGCUCUCAUGCCUGUAGGUGCUGCCUGCAGGGCCUCUCCACCUCCUGCAGGGCUUCACCAUGCACCUCGGGAUGGUUGGGAAGCUCCAGGGAAUGGAGCACAGCGGGCAGAAACAGUUGGCUACUGCCACAGACCUGGGCGGUACCUGGUCCUGGUCAGGCAGAGAGAGACUCACAGACGUUCCCUCACAGGAACCAGGCUAGGAGACGGGUGUUGUGGACUGACACCAGGAUUUCUUUGUGGAUGUCACGAUGUCAAGUCGCUCAGUCGUGUCCCACUCUUUGCGACCCCAUGGACUGCAGCCUACCAGGCUCCUCCGUCCGUGGGAUUUUCCAGGCAAGAGUACUGGAGUGGGGUGCCAUUUCUUUCUCCAGGGUUCUUAACAUAUAUUCCAUAUCAAUGACCAAAAAACCCUCAAUAGUGGCAGGUGUAAAGAUACUCUUAUUAAAAUCAAGUGGAAAAGAAGGAUAUUUUCUGCAACAUUAUUUAACAUAAUACUCAGAGUUAGGAAGGAAGUAAAGCAAGGAAUGAACAGCAAAAAUGGCGAUUGUGCACAGGAUUAAAAAAAUUUUACUUACAGAUAAUAUGAAUAACCCAACAAGCUUGUAGACUUAAUAACACAGUUGAGUAAAAUGGUUAAAUAUUAUGAUAGAUAUGUAAGUAUCAGUAACUUUUACUUAUAUGAAAUUGCAGAUAAAGAUUUGAGUUUUUCUGUAGGUGAGUAUUUGUCAACCAAGCUUUAAAAAAUAUAUGGAUGCCUGGCCCCCACACCAGACUAGUUAAAUGCCCAUCUCUUUGUGGAAGGAGUAGCUUUCAGCCGAUUUGUGGACGCAGCCAGAUGGCCAUGGAGGGUGACUGCUUAUAGGCACGUCUUGGUUUGGAACCAGUGGGGAGGCCUCCCUCCCUGGAAACAGGAUGGAUGAAAGCCCCACCGGGAGGGCUGAGCUGAGUUACAGUGAGCUGAUGGCUCUGCCCAGCCCCCAGCCCCCACGCCCUCCCCUCGGUGCCUCCUCCCCUCUGACUCCAGAGCCCCCCUGACUAGAUGGAGCUGAGCUGGUCCCCCUCAGCUGGCCAGCAGAUGGAUCCGCAGCUCCUCGAACAGCCACGUGCAGAUGGUCGGCUCACUGUGAAUACGUGAAAGAGUGAAAGGACUGAGCGCCCACACGCUGAAGCCAAAGCAUGCCCAUAUGCGCAUCCUGCUCCGGGUGCUCUAGUGGCAGGAGACAGAGAGAACUCUAGAAGCUUCUCCCUGGAGUCACGGAAAUCCAGCUCAUCCUCUGCAUCCCGCCCUGGUCCCUUUCCAGGGCCUGGCUUCUCCAGAAUGAGUCAGCUGUCUCCAGAAGCAUGCCACUUCCUUCCCUUUCCUUGGAGGCUCUGAAACAUCUUUUUAGAUCCCUUAUUCCAUUCAUCUCCAGACUUUUGGAAGCGGCUGCCUACCCAGCAAAUGGAGGUCACCCGAGGGAGGUGGAGACUCCAGGAGGGCUGACUCGAGGCUGGGAGGCAGUGACCCUGGACGACAGGUCUAAGGAGGGGUGUCGUGACAGCUCUGGCUGCCGAGGCGUGGAAAAGGCAGAUGGGCAGUCUUCAGGGCCGAUCUGGGGCAGCUACAACCCUUUGAUCUGCAGGGCCAGCUUGGCCUCUCCAUCUUCAAUGAGAGGAGGCAGCUGAGAAACGCCAUCCCCAUCAAGGCGUCCUCUGCAACUGCUCUGCUCCUGCUCAUCCUCACAGACCCCGGGGCUACCGUGGCAGAGCCGGAUCCAGACUGGCUGUGCUGACAAGAGGACCAGUGGUGUGUGUGGAGCUGCAGCCCACAGUGGAUGAGAAGAAGGCUUCUCAGCUCCUCUAGGAGACGGGCUCUCUCAACCCUAAAGGCCAAGACAUCAGAGGGGCAGUUAACCUAAAGAACUGGGUUGGGGGGAGGGGGACAGGAUCUUAAUCCUUGUUCUGGGGCCAGAGCACAGUUGGUCCCGCAGGAGAGAAUCUAGGCUUCUCCUUGAAGCAGACAGGGACUAAAGUGGCUAAGAAUAAGGACUCACUUUCUAGUUCCCAAUCAGGCCACUCUCAGUUUCCCAAACGUAAGUUUCUCCAGUCCCUCAAGGGAAGAGAACCAGAGAGGCAGAUGGUACAGCAAGUGAUUGGUAGAGGGGACGUCUUGGACACGCCCUCACCACACUGUACCAUCCA